This 71-nucleotide transfer RNA is filed under the name Camelus bactrianus (Bactrian camel). It matches the Rfam family "tRNA". Rfam says of the family: Transfer RNA (tRNA) molecules are approximately 80 nucleotides in length. Their secondary structure includes four short double-helical elements and three loops (D, anti-codon, and T loops). Lineage: Eukaryota; Metazoa; Chordata; Mammalia; Artiodactyla; Camelidae. The record is from Rfam by way of RNAcentral. RNAcentral also lists the same sequence under 1 other name.
GAAAGUAUAGCUGAGGGGUAGAGCGUGUGCUUAGCAUGCACAAGGUCCUGGGUUCAAUCCCAGUACCUCCA